Molecule: ribosomal RNA, 449 nt
Filed under: uncultured bacterium
Lineage: Bacteria
Description: partial 16S ribosomal RNA
Rfam family: Bacterial small subunit ribosomal RNA
Source: RNAcentral
AACGAACGCUGGCGGCAGGCCUAACACAUGCAAGUCGAGCGAGGACUUCGGUCCUAGCGGCGGACGGGUGAGUAACGCGUGGGAACGUGCCCCUUGGUACGGAAUAGCCCCGGGAAACUGGGAGUAAUACCGUAUGAGCUCUACGGAGGAAAGAUUUAUCGCCAAGGGAUCGGCCCGCGUUGGAUUAGGUAGUUGGUGGGGUAAUGGCCUACCAAGCCGACGAUCCAUAGCUGGUUUGAGAGGAUGAUCAGCCACACUGGGACUGAGACACGGCCCAGACUCCUACGGGAGGCAGCAGUGGGGAAUCUUAGACAAUGGGCGCAAGCCUGAUCUAGCCGUGCCGCGUGAGCGAUGAAGGCCUUAGGGUUGUAAAGCUCUUUCAGCUGGGAAGAUAAUGACUGUACCAGCAGAAGAAGCCCCGGCUAACUCCGUGCCAGCCGCCGCGGUAA